GCAGAAAUCGCACGCUUCUUCUUCUGUAUUUUCUUCUUUCUUCUCCUUCUUGCUGUUCUUCAUUUCUUCCUUCUAAAACCAUGAGAGACCCGAGAGAGAGAGAGAAGCAGAAAUGGAGAGAGACCAAUUUCUGCCACUCGGAAAUCAGAAGACCCGAGAGUGGCCGAGACCCACCGAGACUCGACAAACCCCAGCAAACAUAUUUCCAACAACCCCAGCCGGACCCGACACUGCCCAUUCCAGCAACCAUAGCCGGUUCUCUACCGUGACCAAGAACCCAUGCAACCCAGACCAAACCAGAAGCUCAUGAACCCAGAAUCCGUGGACUCCAACCCAGCCGAACCCAAAUUUCCAGCCGACCCAGUGAACCCAGAACCGAGACCCAUCCAACCACCCAUAAACCAGAACCAGCCCGUGACCACCGAGAACCCAGCCGGCUAGUGAACCCAGCAACCCGUAGCAGCAAUUCCGGCCGAACCCAACCAAUCCAAACGGCAAACCCAUAUAUAUACUCCUUCGUUCCUCCUAAACCAGCAGCAACCCGAGACUGUGAAAUGAACCCAAUCCGGCAACCCGUUCAGCAGAACCCAGACCCCAUCAUCCCAGCAACCCCGUGUGACCAGCAACCCACGGCAACCCAACCGCAAGCCUAACCGUGACCCACCAGAAUCCGGUGAACCCAGUUCUGCCGUGAACCCAGCAGCUCGACAAGCACGAACCCAGCCGACCAUUGAUCGGCAAAUCACGCAGAACCCAGAACCACCGUGACCAGCCGAUCCUCCAGUGUGACCCACCGUAUCCCGUGAACACAGUAGACCAGAACCCGUGGGCGUCGAUGGCCGUGAACCUGAUCGAUCCGGAACAACCCACCGAACCUCGACGAACCAGCAUACUAUGCAAACCGUAGCCGAUCCUCAAGCAACCCGACGAACCCCGUAAGCUCGAAACCAAUCCGGCGAUGGAGGAAGACUUCGACAGAACCGGCGUGCUCUAAACCGUAUCUUCCGGACCAUGAGCCGAUUUUCAGCAACUGGAGAUCGUUCUCCAUUAAACUCUGCCUUGCCGUCAUCCAACCCAGCAAGACCCAUGAACACAGUGUGUGUGUGUGUAUGUGACUCAGCUGGAGCAAUAAAAUCACAAGCCAACCUGACCAGCCUAUAUGGAUUCAAUCCAGCAACCCAUGAGCCUUGGCCCAACAACAUGUGACUCAGAAACCCAUUAGCAAUCUAACCCAACCAAGCCCAAAGACCACAACAGCCCAUAACCGAACCCCGCAGCCCAACUGAUCAACUCAAUAACCCAUUUAACCCAGAACCCGGUCAGAUCGUAACCCAUAACCGUGACCCAUAACAGCCCAUAACCCGAGCCCAACCCUUGAACCCAGCCCAUACCCGAGAACCCAUUUAACCCGUGAUCCAUAGCCCGAGUUCAUGACCCACUGAACUGACCCGAAUCCAAACCCAUGACCCGAACCCGACCCGCCGGUGACCCAUCUCCGGCAGACUUCCGGCGAACUUUCUGGCGACUUUCCGGCAGACUUCCGGCGACUUUCCGGUGACUUUUCCGGCGAUUUCCCGUGACCGAACUCAUCGUUUUCACGGAAUUUUCUAGUGAAAAUUCUUAGUUAAUAAACUAAGAAAAUAUACAAAGAGGAUUAAGCUCGAUCCCGAUAUUAUGGGAAAUCCAAGUUAUGAACAGAGAGACGUAGGUGGCCGGGAUGGGAUCUAGGAAUGCAUUAGGACAUUUCAUUUAUAUUACCCCAUAAUUUUCAGUUAUUGUAUUUUUACAAUUAAACGACCGUUUCCGCAUUUAUUAAAAACUCUGAUAUUUUGAAAUCAUUAUUAUUUUUAUUUAUUUAAAUCAGCAUACUAGUUAAGAUAUUUGGCAGACCUUACGAAUCUUUGCAGUUUAAAGAGAAAAGUGACGAACCUAACCCAUAGCGGUUUGGGGGCGUUACAUGUACGGUAAUACCCGGUAUUAUCACAUGCUUAAUUAUUAAUUCGUUAAUGUGAAAUUAAAGCACGUGUCAGGAUUAAUAGUUUUAAUCCUUGCUUUUAUAAGUAAUAUAUAUAUAUAUAUGUUGGUGUAAAAUUGGCUUCAUUCUGUUGGACAAAAUCACUUUUAUGUAAUGAUGCUUUUAUACGGGGAAGCUGCUUUAUCUAGAGUCUACACUUCUAUUAUGUUCUUCAAAAAGUCUGUGGGGAUUUCAAGGCAAUUAAAUUUGGUUCCCUUGCAACCGUCCGGAAGCAACUGUCCAAGCAUCAUCCGUUCGGACGACGAGAACUUUCAGUCCGGACCUUCCUUUGUGUCGAGAAGCUUCGAACUGUUCCAGCUUGCAUCCGUCCGAACGUUUCAGCAGCAUGUCUGGACGCCACUCAGUGUUCGAUUAGCUAUGGGAUUUCUUCCCAAAACAAAGAUAUGGGAAGACAACUGCAACCGUCCGGACGAUGUGGACUCCCAUUCGGACGCGCUCAUCCAUAAGGCAAGUCAUGCAUUCAAAAUCCAGACGUUCGGACGUUUGUCUUCAUGGUCCGAACGCGCGAGCUUCAUAUAUAGAAAUUGCGUGCAUCAGAUCAAUCAUUCGGAAGAUAGAUGCUAUGGUCGGGAGACGCUAAGCCUUGAUAUGAAAAUUGUAUGCAGCUAAAGUGCGACCGUCUGAGCACUAGGGUAGCACCGUCCGGAUACGGCUCAAAUCAGGAAAGAAUUUCAGCUAAUUUUGGAAAGCUGAUCGCAUAGUUGUUCGUCUGGAAGUCUUAUGACUAUUGUCCGGAUGACGCCUAGGUAUUUCAAGUCAGACACUCAUUUGAAUCUACAACCUAUAAAUAGAGGCCUCUAGGCUUGAGAAUUGUAAGAAUUCGGUAUUGAAUUCCGUAGUGCUUAGAGAGUUAUAUUUUAGACUUAUUGUGCUAAGUUACUCUUUCUCAAGCUGUUGCCAUUGUGUGCUAUUGUUGCGCUAAACUGAAGUCUAUCUUAGGGGUUGGCCCUAAUGUAAAGGAUUCCAUUGAAGACCCCUUCAAGUAGGAGACUUGGUUGGGAGGCGUUCGUGUUGGGUUACACGUCAGAGUUCAAGGUAUGACCACUACAUAAGGUUAUAUGAGUGCUACUGCUUUGUAACUAGUCUUGUCUUUUGAAUAGUGGAUAUCCUGAGUUUGGCUGCCUUGGAGUACUUUUUCUCUCAAUUGAGUUACCACUUCGUCAACAAAAUAUCUGUCUCCUUUAAUUCCGUAUUUUGAUAUUUUGUUGGACACUUUUGGCACACACUUGUGAAAGUUAGAAGUCAUCCUUAAUUUUCAGUUGGCAUCAGAGCUUGGUACACUCUGUUUAAGAUUCAAUUCUUGAGUGUUAUCCUUCCUUUUGACUUCUAGUUUUAUUUCAAAUGUCUUUAAAUCUUAAUAAUGUUCCUGCCUUUGAUGGCACGAGCUAUGGCUAUUGGAAAGCUCGUAUGCGAUUCUUUUUAAACUCCAUUGACUAUUGGAAAAUUGUUUAAACUGGUUGGACUAAGCUAGCAGAUGCAACUCCCAAAACAGUCACUGAGAAAACCGCAUUACUUACCAAUGAUAAAGCCCUCCAUGCUCUAUCUCAAGCACUCUCACAGUCUGAAUUCGCAAGAAUCUCAAACUAUGACUCUGCUAAAGAAGCAUAGCAAAUCUUGGAAACAACAUAUAAAGGCACCAAACUUGUUAAAUCUGCCAAACUUCAAAUGUUGAUUUCCAGAUUUGAAGAAAUUAAGAUGUUGGAGGAGGAGACAUUUGGAGAGUUUUACUCCAAAAUGAGCAACCUAAGAAACUCAAUGGUGAGUCUUGGGAAACUUGUCUCGGAUGCAAAACUCAUCUGUAAAAUUCUAAGAUCUUUCCCUGAGCAUUUCAGGAUCAAGGUGACAACCAUUGAAGAAAGCAAAGACUUGGAAGAAAUGAAGAUUGAAGAGUUGGUAGGAUCUCUUCAAACAUAUGAGCUGUCCUUGCCCUCGGUCAAAAAGGUGAAGACCAUUGCCCUAAAAGCUUCCUAAAAGAAGGUCGAAGUCUCAUCUAAAGACGACUCUGAGGAUGAAGAAAAAGUUGUGGCCAUGCUGGCCAAAAAUUUAGGAAGAUUAAUGAGGAAUGAGCGAUUCAAGGAGAAAUUUUCCGAAAGAAUAAAGAAGACCCACAGAGAAUCUGAACCUGAGGAAGCUGAGAAGAAAGAUCCCAGAGGCCAAAGAUGUUUUGAAUUCUCAGGGUUUGGGAAUAUACGGGCUAACUGUGGGAACCUCAAGCAGGGUGAUAGGUGCUGAAUGUUACACAUUCAAGCCCCUUAAUUUACAUAUGUUAAGCUCUUAGUUUUGUUAUAGUUUGAUGUUUUGUGUUGUUUUCUUGUAUUUUACAGGUUUUAGAAGAAAGUCCAUCAAAUUACAAGAUUAUAACAAAGUCGGCAAACUCACUUUUGGAAAAAUUCAACUCCAAAUCAAUUUUGAAUUGAAGGAAAGAGAAGUCGGCAAAAAAUCGUUAUUUUUGGAAAGAAUCCAGAAUGAGCACAUCUUAGUAAUUUAAUCAUAACUUUUGGUUCAACCAUUGAAUUGAGAUGAAAUUGGUGGAUUUGGAAAGAUAAUAAAAGAUUCUACAAAUAUGUCAGAAAUAGGUUUUUUCUAAUUCGGACGUUUAACAUGCCAAAUUUCAGAAAUUUCAGAAAUUUGGAAUCAUUUUCCUGCUUGGAUGGAAAUGUCAGAAAAUGAAAAGACUUGUACUUAUUCUAUUUGGACUAGAAGACCUAUUUAUAAUUUUUUUAGGAUUUCCAGAGCUUCUUUAAUCCCUAUAAAUAGGCCUUUAACCUUUGAAGAAAAAUACACACAAGCUUUGAGGAAGAAUCAAAGGCUACAUCAAGAAAGAGGUUCUUUCUAAUUUUUAUUUUCUUUCUUCCUUUAUUUAUUUCCUGUACGUAUAUAAUUUUAGAUUAUAUUAGUUGUAACUAAUACUUUAGUUAGGGCUCGAUUGAAGCUUUAAUUAUGUCUCGUUAGGGUUUUCAAUUGGUGCCUUUGCUACAAUUCAUAUAUUGAUGCUUAACUUGAUUAUUUUCCAUUUUCUUGAAUUCCACUCAUGUUUAUGCUUGAUCAUCAUAUGCAUGCAUGGACGAUGUUCACAAUGCCAAUGUUACUAUCAUAACUUGAUACUUAAUACUUACCAGCCAUAAGGGAAUGGUAUCUUCUCCUAAAGCUAUUGAUUUCCCUUAGCAACGAGUUAGGCAUGGUAUCCACUUUAACUCUUUUCUUCUUUGAAGGAUUUAGCAUGGUAUGUAUUAAGUUUCUUAGUAUUUUGGCCUCAUUCUGCGUUUUGGACAAAAUCACUUGUAUGUGAAAAGAUGCUGUAAACAGGGUAUUCACUAUUCAGAGCUCUCUUAGAAGACUUUGCACAGCGAAGAUUUCGGUUCCCUGUCAGCCGUUCGGACGAUCGAGCCAUCCCGUUCGGACGCUCAUCUAACCACUGUUCCAUCCGUCUGAACGACGUGCCAUACCGUCCAGAUGCCAGUUAGACCAAGCAUCAUCCGUCUGGACGACGUGCACUUCCGUUUGGACCCUCCACUGUGUCGAAAAGGUUCUAUCUAGCUUGCAUCCGUCCAAACAUUUCAGCAGCAAGUCCGGACGCCUCUUGGUUCUCGACCAGUCUCAGAUACUUUCCAAGUUCCGAUAAAGGAAAGAUCGUCCAACCAUCCGGACGAUGUGGUAUCCCAUCCGGACGCGAGUCUUCGUAAGGUAAGAAUCGCAAUUCAAAUAUCCCCAUCCGGACGUCUGUUAGCCUUGGUUCGGACGCGCGUACAACUAAUAUGGAAAUUGCCGAUUCAACUUCAACUGUCCGGAUGACUACCUCUCAUGGUCCGGACGCGCGCAUAGCAGAUAUGGAAAUUGCGUGUUGAAGUUCAGCCGUCCGGACACUCAUCCCCCAUGGUCCGGACUCGCGAAGCCUUAUAAGGAAAUUACUUGUAGCGGACGUGCGACCGUCCGGACGAUGUGCCAUCCCGUCUGAACAUGCUCUUAAACAGGAAAGAUUUCUCAGCAAAAUUUUCAGAAAAUCCUGUCGCACAGUUGUCCGUCCGGACGGCCCAUGUCCACCGUCCAGACGGCGCCCAGCUAUAUUUUGCCUGACGCUCAUUUGAGCCCCCAGCCUAUAAAUAGAGGUCCCUGGGCAUUGAGAACUACAAGAAUUCGGUAUUGAAUUCCACAUUUGCUCAGAGACGUGAUAUUUCCUUUGAAGCUAUUUCAAGUGUGCUGUUGCUGCGCUACAUCUGAAGUCUAACUUAGGGGUUGGCCCUAAGGUAAAGGAUUCCAUUGAAGACCCCUUCAGGUAUGAGACCAGGUUGGGAAGCGCUCGUGUUGGGUUACACGUUAGAGAGCAAGGUACGACCACUGCAUUGGGUAUAUGUGAGUGUUACUAUCUUGUAUCUAGCUAUGUCUUCUGAAUAGUGGAAUUCUUGGGUUUGGCUGCCCCAGAGUGGUUUUUCUCUUGAUUGAGUUUCCACUUCGUCAACAAAAAUAUCUGUGUCAUUUACCUUCCGUUGUGUUUAUUUUUGUUGACACUUUGCGCACACACUUGUCGUUUUAUUUAGAAGUCAAAUUUCAAUUUUCAAUUGGUAUCAGAGCUUGGUACACUCUGUGCAGAUUUAAUUCUUGAGUGUUAUUUCUUUUUGACUUCUAUAUUAUAUCUCAAACUCUUAAUUCUGUUCCUGCCUUUGAUGAUACGAACCAUGGCUAUUGGAAGGCACGUAUGCAUUUCUUUUUGAAAUCUGUUGACUGUUGGGGUAUUGUUGAAACUGGUUGGACUAAACCAGAGGAUGCAACACCUGAACUAGCCCCUUAAAAGAACGCACGCCUUUCCAAUGAUAAAGCCCUCUAUGCUCUGUGCCAAGCACUUUCACCUUCUGAAUUCGCAAAGAUUUCAAACUGCGAAUCAGCCAAAGAAGCAUGGAAAAUCUUGGAAACAACAUAUGAAGGCACGAAACUUGUUAAAUCUGCCAAACUUCAAAUGUUGAUUUCGAGAUUUGAAGAAAUUAAGAUGUUGGAAGAAUAGACUUUUGGAGAGUUUUACUCCAAGAUGAGUGACCUGAGGAACUCCAUGGUGAGUCUUGGGAAACCUAUCUCGGAUGUAAAACUCAUCCGAAAAAUUCUAAGAUCUUUGCCUGAGCGUUUCAGGAUCAAGGUGACCACCAUUGAGGAAAGCAAGGAUCUUGAGGAAAUGAAGAUUGAAGAGCUGGUAGGAUCUCUUCAAACAUAUGAGCUGUCUCUACCCCCGGUCAAGAAGUUGAAUACCAUUGCCCUAAAGGCUUCCAAGAAGAAGGUAGAAGCUCCAUCUGAAGAUGACUCUGAGGAUGAAGAAAAAGCUGUGGCUAUGUUAGCUAAGAAUUUCAGAAGACUAAUGAAAGAUGAUCGGUUUAAGAAGAAUUUUUUUGAAAGAGUAAAGAAACCUCCCAGAGAAGCUGAACCUGAGGAAGAAGAGAUGAAAGACCCCAGAGGACCCUCGAUGUUUUGAAUGCUCAGGCUUUGGGCAUAUCCAGGCUGAUUGUGGGAAUCUUAAGAAGGGCAAGGGAAAGGCAUACAACAUGACUCUCAGUGAUGAGUCAGAAGAAGACGUUCCAGAGUCUGAAAAAUUUCUGGCCUUUGUAGCCCCAUAUGUUGAAGAAGAAGACUCGUAUUACUCGGAGCAUAGUGAUAAUGAGGAAGAGCUCAAGGAAGCCUACAAGACACUCUACCUAGAGUAUGAGAAGCUGAGGGAAGGCCGUAAGCAGCACUUCUCUGAUCUGAAUAGCCUGCAAAUUGAUAAGAGUUCAUUGUUGCUUAGAAUACAAGAGCUUGAAUAAAAAUUACUAGAGACACAACUCCAGCUAGAGAGAGUCACUGAUGAGAAGUUGACUCGUAUGUUGUCCAUCCAGAAGAGCCCAACUGACAACUGGUCUCGGGUAUGUAGCUUCAUCUUUUGAUGCUCUUUCUUCUCCAAAGAUUGUGUUUGUGAAGCCUACAGUCUCAGAGCCUCCUCCCACUGUUGAAGAUAAAGGGAAGGACAAGGUUAACGAUGAUGUUCCAGGCGCUCAGGAGCCACAUUCCAUCAGAAGACCUCCUAUAUGCCACCAUUGCAGUUUAAGUGGGCAUGUUCGUCCUCAGUGCUCCCUCCUAAAAGCACAAAAGGCCAAAGCAAAGAAAGAUGUUCCUAGACAAGCUCAUCAUGGCACUAGACCUAAGGCCCAAAAUCAGACUCUAUGGCAUCAGGCACCUUAUCAAGCACCAUUGUGACAAGCACCAAGGUAUCAAGCUCGAUAAUAUCAAUCACCUAGGUCUCAUGCUCCUUAGGCCCAGGCAUCUCAGCAUCAAUGGCCUCAGCAACGGUUUGCACCGGCCAAGCACCUUAGAAGGCCACAGAAGUUGGAAGCCAAUCAACACCACAAUGAGCCACCUAUCUGGAUGCAGAAUAUGAUGGAGUGGAUGAUGACGUCUUAACAUCAACCACCCACAAGAAGGCAGGCUUGGAUCAAGAAGGACCGUCACCCCAUGAGGGGGAACAAACGCAACUAGCAGGUUCGGGUGUUCAUGCCUAGGUUUGAUUGCUUAUUUUGCUGUUAUUUUUGCAAUCUAGGAACUAGUGGUACUUUGCUUUUGCCCCCUAUUUUGUUUGGAGAGCUUUGCAGGUGUUUAUUGGGGAAGACAAAAAAAGCAGGUCGAGCAACUAUUUUUCUGUAUUGGCAUCAUUAGGUUUGAUCUUGCCUUGCAUAUGAUGUUUUUUUCCAUAUUGCAUUUUUUUAUAAUAAUAAUAAAAAAAAAAUUGUGGGGAGAAUUUGCAGGAUAAUUUUUUUUUCCUUGGCCUAUCAGAUAAUUGCAUGUAUUUUCUCCUGAUAUCUCAAUUCUUUGGGUAUUAAUUUACUUUGCUUAGAUAUAAUUGAGAGUUUUUGACUAUAAUUUGCCAAGUGUUUUCUUGUAUAUGCAAAGGUAGGAUAACUUCUUUUCUCAUGCGAUGAAAAAUGUGCACUAUCCACGACUCCCCUAAAGGUACAUUUUUCCUUCUUUGACUUUGUGUUUCUAGAAAUUCCAGAUAAAAGAAGAAGUUUUUUUUUUAAAAGAUGACCAAAUUGACCACAUGCUAGUUGAACCUAGCACCUAUAAACUCUGGAAUUCCCUUUAGUUUGCAGCACCAUAAGAAACAAGCAGUUAAUCAUAUGAUUUCUGUGUUUUUGAGUAUAUAUUCACUGCUUAUGUGCUACAUUUGCUGUAUGCCUUGCCCUCUACGUGCAAGUAAAACAUUACAUUGUCCUUCAUGGUACAAGUAAAACAAUUAGGUGUUGCAUCUCAGGGGGAGUGUAUCAGAUGAGGGUGGCUAGGCCCUAGUAAGUUAUAAGGUUUGACUUUUGGCUUAUCUUCCAGUUAUUUUACCUCUUGUCUAGAAAAUCUGGUUACUCUUUGUCAUGUCAUCGAAAGUCUUACCUUGAUGGUUUCUGUCUUCACUCACACACGCAUUGCAUGAGUUGAGUUGGCUAGUUGAAUUUUGCAUAUGUAGGAACUUAUUUGUGCUGAUUAAUUUCUCAACUCUUUCUUAUAUCUCUGCUUAGUAUUGAGAUGCUCUUUGAUUGUGUCAUCAGUGGUUUAUACAUCCGUGUUCUGAAACUGACUUGAAAAAUUUGAUUUCUAUGAAUUUUCCUCAGUUUUCUGUUGUUUCAGUGUGGAGCGUCCGGACGGUCUCUAUUGGCGUCCGGAUGGAUAAGUGGUCCGGACGGUACUCAAUUGGAGUUCGGAUGGGAAUGGAGCCCAAUCUUCCAGACGAGACCUGAUUGCGUCCAGACACUCGCGGCAACCACCGGGCGGACGGUUAAUAAAACCGUCCGGACGUGUGCGACCUGUUUGCUUGUUCCCAAUGCAGCGCAUGUCCGGACGAAGUUAUUGCACAGUUCGGACGGAGGCCCCACAGAGGCUAUAUAUACCCCAGAAUCGCCAUUCACUCUUAUACCCCACAUAAUCUACUCUUUGGCAUUUUGUGAGUGAUUGUUUUUGGUGUUUUUGGAGUAAUUUCUUCCCUAAUUGUCUUUUGUGCAUUCUCACUUCAUUCCAGGGAUUCCACUUGUCAGAGAAUUUUCAGAUGACUCUGCAUUGCGAAAAAGAUAGAAGAUUUCAGACCCCCUGUCAGCCGUCCGGACGACAUGUCAUCCCGUCCGGACGUCCAUCUGUCCACUGUUCCAUCCAUUUGGACAAUGUGUUCAUCCCGACCUGACGCCAGACAGACCAGUAUCACCCGUCCGGACGACGUAUCUUUCCGUCCGGACCCUUUACUGUAUUGAGAAGCUUUUGUUCCAUCUUGCAUCCGUCCGGACGUCUCAGCAGCCCGUCCGGACGUCCAUCAGUGAUCGACCAGCUUCAGAUUCUUUCCAAGUUCAGAAUAUGGGAAGAUUGAUACACCAUCUGGACGAUGUAGUUUCCUGUCCGGACGCGCUCAUAAAUAAGGCAAGAAUCGCAAUUCAAAUAUCACCGCCCGGACGUCAGUCAGCCUUGGUCUGGACGCGCGUGCAACUAAUAUGGAAAUUGCCGAUUCGACUUCAACCAUUCAGACGCCUGCCCUUCAUGGUUCGGACGCGCGCAUAACUGAUAUGGAAAUUGUGUGUUGAAGUUCAGCCGUCCGGAUGCUCAUCCCCAAUGGUCCGGACGUGCGAAGCCUUAUAUGAAAAUUACUUGCAGCGGACGUGCGACCGUCCGGACGUCAGUAUCUCACCGUCCGGACGUGAAUCUUAAACAUGAAAGAUUUUCAACGAAAUUUUCAGAAAAUCCUGUCGUACAGUUGUCCUUCCAGACGGCUCAGGUUCACCGUCCGUACGGCGUUCGUACAUAUUACAGCAGUCACCCAUUCUGCACCUCAACCUAUAAAUAGAGGCCCCUGGGCAUUGAGAACUUCAAGAAUUCGGUAUUGAAUUCCACAAGAGCUCAGAGAAGUUCAAGAUCCCUCUGAAGUCGUCACAAGUGUGCUGCGCUACAUCUGAAGUCUAUCUUAGGGGUUGGCUCUAAAGUAAAGGAUUCAAUUGAAGACCCUUUCAGGUAGGAGACCUGGUUGGGAAGCGUUCGUGUUGGGUUACACGUCAGAGAGCAAGGUACGACCAUUGCAUCGGGUUAAUGUGAGUGUUACUAUCUUAUAUCUAGCUUCGUCUUCUGAAUAGUGGAAUUCCUGGGUUUGGUUGCCCUAGAGUGGUUUUUUCUCUUGAUUGAGUUUCUACUUCGUCAACAAAAAUCUGUGUCUUUAUUUUCCCUUGUGCUUAAUUUUUAUUGACACUUGUGCACACACUUUACUUUUAGAAGUCAAUUUUGAUUUUCAAGUUUAUUUAUUUUAAACUGUUAGAGAUUUAUUUUUGGAAUGAAGUUGAAAUUAUGUGAUGCAUAUCUACUAUAUUGGGAGUAUUUUUAAUGAUGUUUUUAGGACUCAAUUGUGAUAAAUUCUGUUUUUAUUUUAGCAAAAGUCAUUUUUACUGCUGUUAUUCUGCCCAAUAUUUUUCAUGACCUAAGAAGACUAUCAUUUUGGAUUUUUCCUGCAAAUCUUGUUGGUUUCUUGUGUAGAAUCAUGUCUGCAGGCUGUCCACCACGCAGGGUCCGUUAGAGGACUGUGGAAGAUAGGGCUGCAAUCCAGGCCAAGACUAUGGAUCGCACCGUCAUUGCUGAGCGGAACGUCAUCCGGUCCGAUAUCAUGGUGCCACCUCUGGAUAGCAUCCAUGCCAUUAUCCAGACAUACAACUGGGUAUAUCUCCACAGCUGUGCUUGUUUGGUGUACACCAGACUGGUAAAGCUCUACUACGCUAACCUGGAAGUGGUGCAGAACGAUGAUCGUGGAUUGGUGCUUUAGUCCACCGUUACAGGCCAUAUCAUCAUUGUUGAUCCUCAGGUCAUCAGUCACAUCAUCCGAGUCCCAGUGCUCGAGAUUUCUGCCAGCCCAUACAAUGAUGUGGUGCUUCCUCCUUCCCUGGAUGAUCUCAGGGAAUUCUUUCAUGCCAUUCCCCAAGGCGAGGAGCGCUCUACCUCCAUCAGGAUUGGUGCCCUGUCUCCCUCCCACCGCAUGCUGGCCAAGAUCAUUCAGCAGAACAUCUGGCCAAUUGCUCGACGCAGUGAUCUUAUCCUGAAACGGACCCAGUUUGUCUAUGCAGUUCACCUUCGCUUGCCUUUUUGCCUGUGCAAGCAUAUUCUAGGUGUUAUGUUGGAGGCCCGUGAUGAGGGAAAUGUCGGUCUCCCAUUUGGCUACCUACUCACUCAGAUUAUCCUCCAGUUGGGAGUCGAUGUCACUGGCGAACCGAAGAUGAAGAUCCAGCAGCCCAUCAGCAAGCAGACUUUGAUGAAGUCCAAUGCGCAGCUGCGGAGAGAUGACUCUGAUUAUGAGAUGCCCAUAGCUACUACCAUGCCUGUUGGUUUUCCGGAGAUGGCUUCAUCUUCCCAGACCGUCCCGCCAUCUUAGCCGGAGGUCAACUAUUCCCAGAUCAUGGAGGCCCUUGCUGCCAUUCAGGGGGGGAUGAGCAGCAUGCAGGUGACUAUGUCCUCCAUGCAGUAGGAGAUACACUCCAUCAACCUGCGUGUAGAGCAAAACCAGCUGGACCUUCAGGAGUGCCUGAAGUUUCAUCAUCCUAGUAGCAGUGAUGAUGAGGAUGAUGCAGAUAGAACUAUACCUCUGCCUGAGGAUGUUUGAUUCCCUCUUGUUUUGUUUUGUUAUCUUUUUGUUUAAAACUUUUGGCUUAUGUAAAACUUUUUUACUUAUAUUACUCUGUUUCCCAGGUCCUUCUGAGACCGUUAGAGGGAGUAAAUUUUAUUAUAAUUGAUGUGAAUUUUAAUUGUA
Alnus glutinosa is the source of this 12800-nucleotide long non-coding RNA. RefSeq lists it as uncharacterized. Lineage: Eukaryota; Viridiplantae; Streptophyta; Magnoliopsida; Fagales; Betulaceae. The record is from RefSeq and is a predicted model, not a curated record. The transcript has 3 exons.